This 1417-nucleotide ribosomal RNA is filed under the name Planktothrix agardhii. RNAcentral describes it as "bacterial SSU rRNA". It matches the Rfam family "Bacterial small subunit ribosomal RNA". Lineage: Bacteria; Bacillati; Cyanobacteriota; Cyanophyceae; Oscillatoriales; Microcoleaceae. The record is from RNAcentral.
GAUGAACGCUGGCGGUCUGCUUAACACAUGCAAGUCGAACGGAAUCCUUAGGGAUUUAGUGGCGGACGGGUGAGUAACACGUAAGAACCUGCCUCUAGGACGGGGACAACAGUUGGAAACGACUGCUAAACCCGGAUGAGCCGAAAGGUAAAAGAUUAAUCGCCUAGAGAGGGGCUUGCGUCUGAUUAGCUAGUUGGUGAGGUAAGAGCCCACCAAGGCGACGAUCAGUAGCUGGUCUGAGAGGAUGAUCAGCCACACUGGGACUGAGACACGGCCCAGACUCCUACGGGAGGCAGCAGUGGGGAAUUUUCCGCAAUGGGCGAAAGCCUGACGGAGCAAGACCGCGUGGGGGAGGAAGGUUCUUGGAUUGUCAACCCCUUUUCUCAGGGAAGAACACAAUGACGGUACCUGAGGAAAAAGCAUCGGCUAACUCCGUGCCAGCAGCCGCGGUAAUACGGGGGAUGCAAGCGUUAUCCGGAAUGAUUGGGCGUAAAGAGUCCGUAGGUAGUCAUCCAAGUCUGCUGUUAAAGAGCGAGGCUUAACCUCGUAAAGGCAGUGGAAACUGGAAGACUAGAGUGUAGUAGGGGCAGAGGGAAUUCCUGGUGUAGCGGUGAAAUGCGUAGAGAUCAGGAAGAACACCGGUGGCGAAGGCGCUCUGCUGGGCUAUAACUGACACUGAGGGACGAAAGCUAGGGGAGCGAAUGGGAUUAGAUACCCCAGUAGUCCUAGCGGUAAACGAUGGAAACUAGGUGUGGCCUGUAUCGACCCGGGCCGUGCCGAAGCAAACGCGUUAAGUUUCCCGCCUGGGGAGUACGCACGCAAGUGUGAAACUCAAAGGAAUUGACGGGGGCCCGCACAAGCGGUGGAGUAUGUGGUUUAAUUCGAUGCAACGCGAAGAACCUUACCAGGACUUGACAUCUCUGGAAUCUCCUUGAAAGGGGAGAGUGCCGUAAGGAACCNGAAGACAGGUGCUGCAUGGCUGUCGUCAGCUCGUGUCGUGAGAUGUUGGGUUAAGUCCCGCAACGAGCGCAACCCUCGUCGUUAGUUGCCAUCAUUAAGUUGGGAACUCUAGCGAGACUGCCGGUGACAAACCGGAGGAAGGUGAGGAUGACGUCAAGUCAGCAUGGCCCUUACGUCCUGGGCGACACACGUACUACAAUGCGAGGGACACAGAGCAGCCAACCCGCGAGGGAGAGCGAAUCUCACAAACCCUGGCACAGUUCAGAUUGCAGGCUGCAACUCGCCUGCAUGAAGGAGGAAUCGCUAGUAAUCGCAGGUCAGCAUACUGCGGUGAAUCCGUUCCCGGGCCUUGUACACACCGCCCGUCACACCAUGGAAGUGAGCCACGCCCGAAGUCAUUACUCUAACCCUUUCGGGGGAGGAGGGUGCCGAAGGCGGGGUUGAUGACUGGGGUGAA